Molecule: long non-coding RNA, 413 nt
Organism: Pteropus alecto (black flying fox)
Lineage: Eukaryota; Metazoa; Chordata; Mammalia; Chiroptera; Pteropodidae
Exons: 4
Source: RefSeq, a predicted model, not a curated record
UCCCCCGCAGCGCGCAUUCGCUCCUUCCUGCCCCCACCUCCGCCCUUAUCCAGACGAGCCAAAAAGCCUUAUAUUCGGAUGCGGAAUAACCGAGUGACACCCUACAGCUGUUUCCGAUUUCCCGCCCCUCCCCCCAUUCUCCCGAGUGCAUGCCUUCCGCUCUGAAAUCUGGACAUCUUCCUGUGGAAUUACAAGGACAGCCAUCUACAGUCGCCCCUUAUACCUGCCCUGCGAGUCAGCACACAGUAACUCUCGAACUUUCGGCAGGACGGGUUAAGCCACACCCUCAGCUGACGAAGACGGGGCGCACGAGAGGAGAGCCCGAAGGGUGUGUGGAAGGCGUGACAGGUCUGAAGUUGUGUGAAGAGAUGAACCUCCUGUUGACUUACAUUUGACUGAAGCAGACGGAUCCC